This 660-nucleotide ribosomal RNA is filed under the name Triticum aestivum (bread wheat). RNAcentral describes it as "partial small subunit ribosomal RNA". Lineage: Eukaryota; Viridiplantae; Streptophyta; Magnoliopsida; Poales; Poaceae. The record is from RNAcentral.
AUGGAAAUGUACGGCAAGGGAAAAGAUUAUGCGGCCUCAGCAUCUAACGUUGGCUUGAAGAGGCAAUGGGUUCCCUCCAAUGUCACCGUGGGCACCAUCGAGGAGCUCAGGGCUGCAGGAUACAUUCCUGCAUUAGCCAUGUGUCGAGCCCCAAUGGAGGGUGAGACCAGCCAUUCUUCCUCCGCCAUCCCCACUCCCAAGAAAGGGGAAAGGGUGGUUUCCAUCCCUCACCUUGUCCAAGAUUUGGGAUUCCCCCUUAAUCCACUCGUAAGGGGUUUGCUGUUUUACUACGGGUUAGAUUUCCACCACCUAGGCCCAAAUUCAAUUCUCCAUAUAGCCACUUUUAUCACUAUAUGUGAGGCUUUCCUCCGCGUCAAGCCGCACUUCAGCCUCUGGCUGAAGAUGUUUAGUGUGAUGCCAAAGAGUAGUGGCCCCCAGCUCGCUGAAUGCGGUGGGGCCAAGAUAAGAAAACUUCCCAAUGUGAUCUGGCCUAAGGGAACCUUUGUGGAGACCAUCAAGUUGUUGCAGCAGGAAUGGUUUUACAUAACCAACCUGCGCACAAAGGGUCAAAAAGAGACCCCCGUCUUUUCGGCGAGCCUCCAAGAAGGCUUGUUUCCUGGACAGAGAAGAGCAUUGAUUGGGGGAACCCGGACAUGGUGA